AGUGAACGCUGGCGGUAGGCCUAACACAUGCAAGUCGAACGGCAGCACAGUAAGAGCUUGCUCUUACGGGUGGCGAGUGGCGGACGGGUGAGGAAUACAUCGGAAUCUACUUUUUCGUGGGUGAUAACGUAGGGAAACUUACGCUAAUACCGCAUACGACCUACGGGUGAAAGCAGGGGAUCUUCGGACCUUGCGCGAUUGAAUGAGCCGAUGUCGGAUUAGCUAGUUGGCGGGGUAAAGGCCCACCAAGGCGACGAUCCGUAGCUGGUCUGAGAGGAUGAUCAGCCACACUGGAACUGAGACACGGUCCAGACUCCUACGGGAGGCAGCAGUGGGGAAUAUUGGACAAUGGGCGCAAGCCUGAUCCAGCCAUACCGCGUGGGUGAAGAAGGCCUUCGGGUUGUAAAGCCCUUUUGUUGGGAAAGAAAAGCAGCAGGUUAAUACCCCGCUGUUCUGACGGUACCAAAAGAAUAAGCACCGGCUAACUUCGUG
RNAcentral lists this ribosomal RNA (492 nucleotides) under uncultured bacterium. RNAcentral describes it as "partial 16S ribosomal RNA". It matches the Rfam family "Bacterial small subunit ribosomal RNA", at positions 29 to 507 of the family's 1533-position model. The record is from RNAcentral.